CCUACGGGAGGCAGCAGUGGGGGAUAUUGCACAAUGGGGGGAACCCUGAUGCAGCGACGCCGCGUGGGUGAAGAAGCGCCUCGGCGCGUAAAGCCCUGUCAGCAGGGAAGAAAAUGACGGUACCUGAAGAAGAAGCCCCGGCUAACUACGUGCCAGCAGCCGCGGUAAUACGUAGGGGGCAAGCGUUAUCCGGAUUUACUGGGUGUAAAGGGAGCGUAGGCGGCAGGGCAAGCCUGAUGUGAAAGCCCGGGGCUCAACCCCGGGACUGCAUUGGGAACUGCCCCGCUCGAGUGCCGGAGGGGCAG
Molecule: ribosomal RNA, 305 nt
Filed under: uncultured bacterium
Lineage: Bacteria
Description: bacterial SSU rRNA
Rfam family: Bacterial small subunit ribosomal RNA
Source: RNAcentral